UACGUAGGCAGCGAGCGUUGUUCGGAGUUACUGGGCGUAAAGGGUGUGUAGGCGGUUAUUUAAGUUUGGUGUGAAAUCUCCCGGCUCAACCGGGAGGGUGCGCCGAAUACUGAAUGACUUGGAGUGCGGGAGAGGUGAGUGGAAUUCCUGGUGUAGCGGUGAAAUGCGUAGAUAUCUGGAGGAACACCGGUGGCGAAGGCGGCAUCCUGGACCGGCAUUGACGCUGAGGCGCGAAAGCCAGGGGAGCAAACGGG
RNAcentral lists this ribosomal RNA (254 nucleotides) under uncultured bacterium. RNAcentral's name for it is "partial 16S ribosomal RNA". It matches the Rfam family "Bacterial small subunit ribosomal RNA", at positions 524 to 776 of the family's 1533-position model. The record is from RNAcentral.